UCGGGAAUUUUGGGCAAUGGGCGAAAGCCUGACCCAGCAACGCCGCGUGAGGGAUGAAGUAUUUCGGUAUGUAAACCUCGAAAGAAUGGGAAGAAUAAAUGACGGUACCAUUUAUAAGCACCGGCUAACUUCGUGCCAGCAGCUGCGGUAAUACGAAGGGUGCAAGCGUUACUCGGAAUUACUGGGCGUAAAGCGUGCGUAGGUGGUUCGUUAAGUCUGAUGUGAAAGCCCUGGGCUCAACCUGGGAAUGGCAUUGGAAACUGGCGGACUGGAGUGCGGAAGAGGGUAGCGGAAUGCCCGGUGUAGCAGUGAAAUGCGUAGAGAUCGGGAGGAACAUCCGUGGCUAAGGCGGCUACCUGGACCAGCACUGACACUGAGGCACGAAAGCGUGGGGAGCAAAC
RNAcentral lists this ribosomal RNA (401 nucleotides) under uncultured bacterium. RNAcentral describes it as "bacterial SSU rRNA". It matches the Rfam family "Bacterial small subunit ribosomal RNA", at positions 355 to 773 of the family's 1533-position model. The record is from RNAcentral.